RNAcentral lists this ribosomal RNA (433 nucleotides) under uncultured organism. RNAcentral's name for it is "eukaryotic LSU rRNA". The stretch from base 69 to 222 matches the Rfam family "5.8S ribosomal RNA". The record is from RNAcentral.
GCCGAUUGGACAAACCAAAACUUUUUUUGUAGUUGCAAUCAGCGUCUGAAAAUAAUCUAAUUAUUUACAACUUUCAACAACGGAUCUCUUGGUUCUGGCAUCGAUGAAGAACGCAGCGAAAUGCGAUAAGUAGUGUGAAUUGCAGAAUUCAGUGAAUCAUCGAAUCUUUGAACGCACAUUGCGCCCCUUGGUAUUCCAUGGGGCAUGCCUGUUCGAGCGUCAUUUGUACCCUCAAGCUUUGCUUGGUGUUGGGCGUCUUGUCGUAUUACGACUCGCCUUGAAUUCAUUGGCAGCCGGCACUUUGGCCUAGGAGCGCAGCACAUUUUGCGAUCGUAGCCCGUUGUACUGGCGUCCAUCAAGAACAUUUACCACGUUUGACCUCGGAUCAGGUAGGGAUACCCGCUGAACUUAAGCAUAUCAAUAAGCGGAGGAA